Molecule: ribosomal RNA, 460 nt
Filed under: uncultured bacterium
Lineage: Bacteria
Description: partial 16S ribosomal RNA
Rfam family: Bacterial small subunit ribosomal RNA
Source: RNAcentral
CCUACGGGAGGCAGCAGUGAGGAAUAUUGGUCAAUGGGCGCGAGCCUGAACCAGCCAAGCCGCGUGAAGGAUGAAGGCCCUACGGGUUGUAAACUUUUUUUAUAAAGGAAUAAAGUGAGGCACGUGUGCCUUUUUGUAUGUACUUUAUCAAUAAGGAUCGGCUAACUCCGUGCCAGCAGCCGCGGUAAUAUGGAGGAUCCGAGGGUUACGCGGAUUUAGUGGGUUUAAAGGGAGCGUAGAUGGGUUGUUAUGUCAGUUGUGAAAGUUUGCGGCUCAACCGUAAAAUUGCAAUUGAUCCUGGCAGUCUGGAGUACAGUUGAGGUAGGCGGAAUUCGUGGUGUAGCGGUGAAAUGCGUAGAUAUCACGAAGAACUCCGAUUGCGAAGGCAGCUUACUAGACUGCCACUGACAUUGAUGCUCGAAAGUGUGGGUAUCAAACAGGAUUAGAUACCCGUGUAGUC